CCCCUAGUAACUGCGAGUGAAGCGGGAAAAGCUCAAAUUUAAAAUCUGGCAGUCUCUGGCUGUCCGAGUUGUAAUCUAGAGAAGUGAUGCCCGCGCUGGACCGUGUACAAGUCUCCUGGAAUGGAGCGUCAUAGAGGGUGAGAAUCCCGUCUCUGACACGGACUACCAGGGCUUUGUGGUAUCCUCUCAAAGAGUCGAGUUGUUUGGGAAUGCAGCUCUAAAUGGGUGGUAAAUUCCAUCUAAAGCUAAAUAUUGGCGAGAGACCGAUAGCGAACAAGUACCGUGAGGGAAAGAUGAAAAGAACUUUGGAAAGAGAGUUAAACAGUACGUGAAAUUGCUGAAAGGGAAACGCUUGAAGUCAGUCGCGUUAGCUGGGAAUCAGCCUCGCUCUUGCGUGGUGUACUUUCUGGUUGACGGGUCAGCAUCAAUUUUGACUGCUGGAAAAAGGCUUAGGGAAUGUGGCAGCUUCGGCUGUGUUAUAGCCCUUGGUCACAUACAGCGGUUGGGAUUGAGGAACUCAGCACGCCGCAAGGCCGGGUUUCGACCACGUUCGUGCUUAGGAUGCUGGCAUAAUGGCUUUAAGCGACCCGUCUUGAAACACGGACCAAGGAGUCUAACAUGCCUGCGAGUGUUUGGGUGGUAAAACCCGAGCGCGUAAUGGAAAGUGAAAGUUGAGAUCCCCUGUCCGUGGGGGAGC
RNAcentral lists this ribosomal RNA (697 nucleotides) under Fuscospina nigrescens. RNAcentral's name for it is "LSU rRNA". It matches the Rfam family "Eukaryotic large subunit ribosomal RNA", at positions 77 to 756 of the family's 3401-position model. The record is from RNAcentral. Lineage: Eukaryota; Fungi; Basidiomycota; Agaricomycetes; Agaricales; Lycoperdaceae.